Molecule: long non-coding RNA, 594 nt
Filed under: Monodelphis domestica (gray short-tailed opossum)
Lineage: Eukaryota; Metazoa; Chordata; Mammalia; Didelphimorphia; Didelphidae
Description: lncRNA (ENSMODG00000048127.1)
Source: RNAcentral
AGCUACAUUUUUGCCUCUGAAUGAAUAACACACCCUUAUUGAAAUACAUAAAUCCUGUUCUCUAAUUCUCAGUGCUCCUUGCAGAAUUACAACCUGUAUACUUUAGAUUGAUUUCCCUUGUCAAUCCAUGUCAAACAGGGUUUAUGGAUAUGAGCCACAGGACCAGAGCCACAGGCCAAGAUAAAAAACAGGGAUAUAAAAAAUACUACUGCCACUAAUAUGCUUUUGUCCAAGAUUGACAGCACCAGAAGCAUCCCCACCCUAAUUUUUUUUGACAAGAGAAUGAAGAAUAAUGGAGACAAAUAAAAGAUAGGAGGAAAGCCUUGAUUACUACUUGUGCCCAAGUUGACUUCUGAAGAAUAAUGAUAUAUAUUGAGCAUCUAUGCUGAAAAUAGCCCUUUCCUAAAUGGAGAGAAGGAUGGCAGGAAACAGACAGUAAAAACCCUAUAUUCUUGGGAGCACUGAAACCCAGCCCCAACCAACAAAAAAGGUGCUGCCCUCUAAUCUGGAUAUCAUUACCUUCCUGGCAAAAGAUUCUCUCAGACUUUGAUUCCCCACAAAUGGUUCUCCUCCCAAAGGGCAGGUACUCUAGAC